UGUUGUCUGGAGAACUGACGUGGCUCUUUCCUCUUUGGUUCUGCAGUAAGGAGCAAGCAACGACUCAACACAAUGGAGCUGGAGGCCAUGACCAGAUACACCAGUCCGGUGAACCCAGCAGUCUUCCCCCACCUCACUGUGGUCCUCCUGGCUAUCGGCAUGUUCUUCACUGCGUGGUUCUUUGUCUACGAGGUAACAUCCACUAAAUACACCAGAGACGUGUUCAAAGAGCUGCUCAUCUCCCUGGUGGCGUCGCUCUUCAUGGGCUUCGGAGUGCUGUUUCUGUUACUGUGGGUCGGCAUCUAUGUCUGACGGGUAAGGAUCAUGGCAUCUAUGUCUGACAGGUAAGGAUCAUGGUAUCUAUGUCUGACGGGUAAGGAUCAUGGCAUCUAUGUCUGACGGGUAAGGAUCGUGGCAUCUAUGUCUGACGGAUUGUUAUAUCAAUACAGAAGAACAUUCCAGUGGAACAGGACAUGAAAUGGGCUCCACUACAAGAUGGUUAUGGAUUGGAUUGCACUGUGGGGGGCUGUGGAUUGGGGUGACCUUUCAAUAAAUAAAAAUAGCUAUUUGUACAAAAA
Oncorhynchus keta (chum salmon) is the source of this 578-nucleotide RNA transcript. It is a transcript of the gene named transmembrane protein 258, with no coding region annotated. The record is from RefSeq and is a predicted model, not a curated record. The transcript is spliced from 5 exons. NCBI's taxonomy places the organism in Eukaryota, Metazoa, Chordata, Actinopteri, Salmoniformes, Salmonidae.